CCUACGGGUAGCAGCAGUGGGGGAUAUUGCACAAUGGGGGACACCCUGAUGCAGCGACGCCGCGUGAGUGAAGAAGUAUUUCUGUAUGUAAAGCUCUAUCAGCAGGGAAGAACAUGACAGUGCCUUACCAAUCCGCCCCGGCUAACUCCGUGCCAGCCGCCGCGGUAAUACGUAGGGGGCAAGCCUUAUCCGGAUUUACUGGGUGUAAAGGGUGCGUAGACGGUUAUGUAAGUCUGGAGUGAAAGCCCGGGGCCCAACCCCGGGACUGCUUUGGACAUUGUGUAACUGGAGUACAGGAGGGGCAGGCGGAAGUCCUGGUGUAGAGGUGAAAUGCGUAGAUAUCAGGAGGAACACCGGCGGAGAAGGCGGCCUGCUGGAAUGAAACGGACGUUGAGGCUCGAAAGCGUGGGGAGCAAACAGGAUUAGAUACCCCAGUAGUC
Molecule: ribosomal RNA, 440 nt
Filed under: uncultured bacterium
Lineage: Bacteria
Description: partial 16S ribosomal RNA
Rfam family: Bacterial small subunit ribosomal RNA
Source: RNAcentral